CAGGGAGACAAACAACGAUUUUGAUGCCUGAGUACUUUUAUUCUUAGGCCGAAAUCCUGUCACCUUAGGUCGAUCGGUACCUCAACUUCAAUCCUGUGAGUCGCAAGACUGCACAACGAUUGAUUUUUAGUUCCUAAACGUUGUCUAGGUCACCCCAUAGAGGGUUCACUUCCUGGGCCAUUAGCUCAGGUGGUUAGAGCGCACCCCUGAUAAGGGUGAGGUCCCUGGUUCAAGUCCAGGAUGGCCCAUUCCAAAAUCCAUUUUGGAUCAUUUGGGGGUUUAGCUCAGUUGGUAGAGCGCCUGCUUUGCAAGCAGGAUGUCAGCGGUUCGAGUCCGCUAACCUCCACUAACACUACUGAACUCCUAAGCCAGGAAGAGCUUCUUGGUUGGUGACUAGACGUUGUUCGCAGAGAAUCCACUGGUUGAUCCAGUCGUAUUCAGCCUCAGCUCAUCUCCGAUAACGGAUUGAACUGAUGCUGAAUUCACUCCUGAAAGGGAGAGGAUUUAGCAGAACCUUGACAACUGCAUAGGUGAGUCUGGAAAGACAAAAGCAUCUCAUAGAGAUCAGAACGUCUUUCGCCGCAAGGCGAUUGAUGAACUGAUUAUUCUAUUUUUGAGAGCCGAGACCUUCUAGCGUUCUUCCCAAUCCGCCGAGGAGCGGGGAGUUUGAUCCUUGUUUCUAACUGGAGCAGCAAUGCUUUAAGAGAAACUUGAGAGAAUGGGCCUCAACGGCCUGAAGCGUUAGGAGGAUUAAU
This 755-nucleotide transfer RNA is filed under the name uncultured Synechococcus sp. RNAcentral describes it as "16S-23S ribosomal RNA intergenic spacer". The stretch from base 274 to 346 matches the Rfam family "tRNA". Lineage: Bacteria; Bacillati; Cyanobacteriota; Cyanophyceae; Synechococcales; Synechococcaceae. The record is from RNAcentral.